RNAcentral lists this ribosomal RNA (307 nucleotides) under uncultured Planctomycetota bacterium. RNAcentral describes it as "bacterial SSU rRNA". It matches the Rfam family "Bacterial small subunit ribosomal RNA", at positions 29 to 351 of the family's 1533-position model. The record is from RNAcentral. Lineage: Bacteria; Pseudomonadati; Planctomycetota.
AAUGAACGUUGGCAGCGUGGAUUAGGCAUGCAAGUCGAGCGACAAGGUUCCUUCGGGGACUGGAGGAGCGGCAAACGGGGUAGUAAGGCAUCGGAACGUACCCUCUUGUCCGGGAUAGCUACGGGAAACUGUAAUUAAUACCGGAUAAACUCUACGGAGCAAAGGUCCGCCGCGGGAGGAGCGGCCGAUGUGAUAUCAGGUAGUUGGCGGGUAACGGCCCACCAAGCCUUAGACGUCUAGGGGAUGUGAGAGCAUGGAAUCCCCACCACUGGGACUGAGAUACUGCCCAGACACCUACGGGAGGCAG